Molecule: ribosomal RNA, 492 nt
Filed under: uncultured bacterium
Lineage: Bacteria
Description: partial 16S ribosomal RNA
Rfam family: Bacterial small subunit ribosomal RNA
Source: RNAcentral
AGUGAACGCUGGCGGUAGGCCUAACACAUGCAAGUCGAACGGCAGCACAGUAAGAGCUUGCUCUUACGGGUGGCGAGUGGCGGACGGGUGAGGAAUACAUCGGAAUCUACUUUUUCGUGGGGGAUAACGUAGGGAAACUUACGCUAAUACCGCAUACGACCUACGGGUGAAAGCAGGGGAUCUUCGGACCUUGCGCGAUUGAAUGAGCCGAUGUCGGAUUAGCUAGUUGGCGGGGUAAAGGCCCACCAAGGCGACGAUCCGUAGCUGGUCUGAGAGGAUGAUCAGCCACACUGGAACUGAGACACGGUCCAGACUCCUACGGGAGGCAGCAGUGGGGAAUAUUGGACAAUGGGCGCAAGCCUGAUCCAGCUAUACCGCGUGGGUGAAGAAGGCCUUCGGGUUGUAAAGCCCUUUUGUUGGGAGAGAAAAGCAGCAGGUUAAUACCCCGCUGUUCUGACGGUACCCAAAGAAUAAGCACCGGCUAACUUCGUG